Molecule: transfer RNA, 69 nt
Filed under: Tragelaphus scriptus (bushbuck)
Lineage: Eukaryota; Metazoa; Chordata; Mammalia; Artiodactyla; Bovidae
Description: tRNA-Ala
Rfam family: tRNA
About the family: Transfer RNA (tRNA) molecules are approximately 80 nucleotides in length. Their secondary structure includes four short double-helical elements and three loops (D, anti-codon, and T loops). Further hydrogen bonds mediate the characteristic L-shaped molecular structure. tRNAs have two regions of fundamental functional importance: the anti-codon, which is responsible for specific mRNA codon recognition, and the 3' end, to which the tRNAs corresponding amino acid is attached (by aminoacyl-tRNA synthetases). tRNAs cope with the degeneracy of the genetic code in two manners: having more than one tRNA (with a specific anti-codon) for a particular amino acid; and 'wobble' base-pairing, i.e. permitting non-standard base-pairing at the 3rd anti-codon position.
Source: RNAcentral
GAGGAUUUAGCUUAAUUAAAGUGAUUGAUUUGCGUUCAGUUGAUGUAAGAUAUAGUCUUGCAAUCCUUA